Long non-coding RNA from Orbicella faveolata, 1068 nucleotides. The record is from RefSeq and is a predicted model, not a curated record. NCBI's taxonomy places the organism in Eukaryota, Metazoa, Cnidaria, Anthozoa, Scleractinia, Merulinidae.
CUCCAGAAACCUUUUCGUUAUUAAUCACUCUACAAAAGGGAGCUGCUGGCAGAAAGCAAUUUGAGAUAGAAAGAGGGUUAGAAUAUUAGGAAGCCGCUUGAAAAUUUUAGGUUCUCAAACCGAAAAGCAGAGAUUCAUGGAAGUUCGAAAGAGAUCAAAUUGCCCAUCAUGGAAAAAAAAAGUGGAGUAAAAUAUUGCGUAAGGCUUCUAUCUUCUCUUCUGAUGAUCUUCACUGAUACGUUAGUUUGCAGUCCCUAAAAGAGCCUCGUUACUAAAAGGUCUACCAGAGAUCACACACGUGGCUGCUGGUGGCUCGUUCUGUGUUGCCCUCACUGUCACUGGGGAACUCUACAGUUGGGGCUAUGGUGUUCUGGGACAUGGCCGGGAGGUUUCUUUUGCGAAGACGCCGAGAAAAAUUCAAGAGUUUUCCUCCAUCGAUGAAACUGUUACACGAGUGUUUUGCGGCCCCGAUAACACUGCUGUAGUGACAGAUACAGGCGCACUGUAUACCUGGGGGAGAGGAUCAUUUGGAAGACUCGGUCUUGGCUCAAAACAGGAUCAGUGGGUUCCUAAGAAGGUGGGUUUUAAGAGUACACUGUAAAACUAGACUAAUACACUCUUAUUGUAAUGCAAUGAGAGUUUGUUGCCUUGUUUAGUAACGCCGUGCUUGAGAGCUGCGUUGUCAAUCAAUCCCGGCAUUUCUUCGUUGUUUGGGAGACUGUUUUUCUUCGUUAUUAUUAUUAGUUUUUCUUUUUUGAAGAGGGGGAGGACAGUGGGGCAUCAGUGACGUGUGUUCUUUGCCUUUCCGACUCGUUACAUUUUGAUGCUGCUUGUUACAAAUCACAUACUUCAGUACAGGGAAGAAAUAAUGGGAAAGAAUUUCUGUGAAGCUUCGUCAUUUCAGCAUCUCUGAUAAGAAGAAUAAAGUAAGUCUGAGUUGCCUUCUGCUUGUCUUCUGCUUGUGUUACAAGAAGUCUUUCGUGCGAAACUUCAGUUCAUUUCACUUGAAGAAUUGUUUUAGCUGUACGUUCAUUUUCAUUCAAAUCAAACUCAUUUUCAUGCUAAACA